Molecule: ribosomal RNA, 301 nt
Filed under: uncultured bacterium
Lineage: Bacteria
Description: partial 16S ribosomal RNA
Rfam family: Bacterial small subunit ribosomal RNA
Source: RNAcentral
CAGCAGCCACGGUAAUACGUAGGUGGCAAGCGUUGUCCGGAAUUAUUGGGCGUAAAGGGCUCGCAGGCGGUUUCUUAAGUCUGAUGUGAAAGCCCCCGGCUCAACCGGGGAGGGUCAUUGGAAAAUGGGAAACUUGAGUGCAGAAGAGGAGAGUGGAAUUCCACGUGUAGCGGUGAAAUGCGUAGAGAUGUGGAGGAACACCAGUGGCGAAGGCGACUCUCUGGUCUGUAACUGACGCUGAGGAGCGAAAGCGUGGGGAGCGAACAGGAUUAGAUACCCCUGUAGUCCCUGUCUCUUAUAC